This 490-nucleotide ribosomal RNA is filed under the name uncultured bacterium. RNAcentral describes it as "partial 16S ribosomal RNA". It matches the Rfam family "Bacterial small subunit ribosomal RNA", at positions 30 to 507 of the family's 1533-position model. The record is from RNAcentral.
AUUGAACGCUGGCGGCAGGCCUAACACAUGCAAGUCGAACGGUAACAGGAAACAGCUUGCUGUUUCGCUGACGAGUGGCGGACGGGUGAGUAAUGUCUGGGAAACUGCCUGAUGGAGGGGGAUAACUACUGGAAACGGUAGCUAAUACCGCAUAACGUCGCAAGACCAAAGAGGGGGACCUUCGGGCCUCUUGCCAUCGGAUGUGCCCAGAUGGGAUUAGCUAGUAGGUGGGGUAACGGCUCACCUAGGCGACGAUCCCUAGCUGGUCUGAGAGGAUGACCAGCCACACUGGAACUGAGACACGGUCCAGACUCCUACGGGAGGCAGCAGUGAGGAAUAUUGCACAAUGGGCGCAAGCCUGAUGCAGCCAUGCCGCGUGUAUGAAGAAGGCCUUCGGGUUGUAAAGUACUUUCAGCGGGGAUGAAGGGAGUAAAGUUAAUACCUUUGCUCAUUGACGUUACCCGCAGAAGAAGCACCGGCUAACUCCGUG